This is a non-coding RNA of Schistosoma mattheei, 48 nucleotides long. NCBI's taxonomy places the organism in Eukaryota, Metazoa, Platyhelminthes, Trematoda, Strigeidida, Schistosomatidae. The record is from Rfam.
AUCCAGCUGACGAAUCCCAAAUAGGAUGAAACGCUCGUAAAACUGGAU